UCGACGGAUCCUUCGGGAUUAGUGGCGGACGGGUGAGUAACACGUGGGAACGUGCCCUUUGGUUCGGAACAACUCAGGGAAACUUGAGCUAAUACCGGAUGUGCCCUUCGGGGGAAAGAUUUAUCGCCAUUGGAGCGGCCCGCGUCUGAUUAGCUAGUUGGUGAGGUAAAGGCUCACCAAGGCGACGAUCAGUAGCUGGUCUGAGAGGAUGAUCAGCCACAUUGGGACUGAGACACGGCCCAAACUCCUACGGGAGGCAGCAGUGGGGAAUCUUGCGCAAUGGGCGAAAGCCUGACGCAGCCAUGCCGCGUGAAUGAUGAAGGUCUUAGGAUUGUAAAAUUCUUUCACCGGGGACGAUAAUGACGGUACCCGGAGAAGAAGCCCCGGCUAACUUCGUGCCAGCAGCCGCGGUAAUACGAAGGGGGCUAGCGUUGCUCGGAAUUACUGGGCGUAAAGGGAGCGUAGGCGGACUGUUUAGUCAGAGGUGAAAGCCCAGGGCUCAACCUUGGAAUUGCCUUUGAUACUGGCAGUCUUGAGUACGGAAGAGGUAUGUGGAACUCCGAGUGUAGAGGUGAAAUUCGUAGAUAUUCGGAAGAACACCAGUGGCGAAGGCGACAUACUGGUCCGUUACUGACGCUGAGGCUCGAAAGCGUGGGGAGCAAACAGGAUUAGAUACCCUGGUAGUCCACGCCGUAAACGAUGAGUGCUAGUUGUCGGCAUGCAUGCAUGUCGGUGACGCAGCUACGCAUUAAACACUCCGCCGGGGGAAGACGGUCGCAAGAUUAAACUCAAAGGAAUUGACGGGGGCCCACACAAGCGGUGGAGCAGGUGGUUAAUUCCAACAACCCACAAAACUGUACCCCUUUUGAAUGCCCGGACCGCCCAAAGAUUUGGCUUUCCUUUCGGGAACGGGACACAGGUGCUGCAUGGCUGCCGCAACCCGUGGCUGGAAAUGUGGGUUAAAUCCCCAAAAGAGGGAACCCUUCCGCUUAUUGCCCACCGGGUUGGGGGGGCCUCUAAUCGGC
Molecule: ribosomal RNA, 1025 nt
Filed under: Caulobacter sp.
Lineage: Bacteria; Pseudomonadati; Pseudomonadota; Alphaproteobacteria; Caulobacterales; Caulobacteraceae
Description: bacterial SSU rRNA
Rfam family: Bacterial small subunit ribosomal RNA
Source: RNAcentral